GAAUAUUGCGCAAUGGGCGAAAGCCUGACGCAGCGACGCCGCGUGGGUGAUGAAGGUCUUCGGAUCGUAAAGCCCUUUUCUGCGUGACGAUGAUGACGGUAGCGCAGGAAAAAGUGUCGGCUAACUACGUGCCAGCAGCCGCGGUAACACGUAGGACGCAAACGUUAUCCGGAAUUACUGGGCGGAAAGGGCGCGCAGGCGGCGCGGUAAGUGAGGCAUGAAAGCUCCCUGGCUAAACCGGGAGAGGAUGUCUGAGACUGCCGUGCUGGAGUGAGGUAGAGGGAUGUGGAAUUCCGCGUGUAGUGGUGAAAUGCGUAGAGAUGCGGAGGAACACCAGUGGCGAAGGCGGCAUCCUGGACCUCAACUGACGCUGAGGCGCGAAAGCAUGGGUAGCGAACGGG
RNAcentral lists this ribosomal RNA (401 nucleotides) under uncultured bacterium. Its description in RNAcentral is "bacterial SSU rRNA". It matches the Rfam family "Bacterial small subunit ribosomal RNA", at positions 359 to 776 of the family's 1533-position model. The record is from RNAcentral.